RNAcentral lists this ribosomal RNA (460 nucleotides) under uncultured bacterium. Its description in RNAcentral is "partial 16S ribosomal RNA". It matches the Rfam family "Bacterial small subunit ribosomal RNA", at positions 338 to 795 of the family's 1533-position model. The record is from RNAcentral.
CCUACGGGAGGCAGCAGUGAGGAAUAUUGGUCAAUGGGCGCGAGCCUGAACCAGCCAAGUAGCGUGAAGGAUGACUGCCCUACGGGUUGUAAACUUCUUUUAUAAGGGAAUAAAGUGAGGCACGUGUGCCUUUUUGUAUGUACUUUAUGAAUAAGGAUCGGCUAACUCCGUGCCAGCAGCCGCGGUAAUACGGAGGAUCCGAGCGUUAUCCGGAUUUAUUGGGUUUAAAGGGAGCGUAGAUGGGUUGGUAAGUCAGUUGUGAAAGUUUGCGGCUCAACCGGAAAAUUGCAAUUGAUACUGGCAGGCUUGAGUGCAGUAGAGGUAGGUGGAAUUCGUGGUGUAGCGGUGAAAUGCGUAGAUAUCACGAAGAACUCCGAUUGCGAAGGCAGCUUACUAAACUGCAACUGACAUUGAUGCUCGAAAGUGUGGGGAGCAAACAGGAUUAGAUACCCGGGUAGUC